GAUGAAGAACGUAGCGAAAUGCGAUAAGUAAUGUGAAUUGCAGAAUCCAGUGAAUCAUCGAAUCUUUGAACGCACAUUGCGCCCGCCAGCAUUCUGGUGGGCAUGCCUGUUCGAGCGUCAUUUCAACCCUCGACCUCCCUUUGGGGAAGUCGGCGUUGGGGACCGGCAGCACACCGCCGGCCCUGAAAUGGAGUGGCGGCCCGUCCGCGGCGACCUCUGCGUAGUAAUCCAACUCGCACCGGAACCCCGACGCGGCCACGCCGUAAAACACCCAACUUCUGAACGUUGACCUCGAAUCAGGUAGGACUACCCGCUGAACUUAAGCAUAUCAAUAAGCGGAGGA
Molecule: unclassified non-coding RNA, 343 nt
Filed under: soil metagenome
Description: partial contains 5.8S ribosomal RNA, internal transcribed spacer 2, and large subunit ribosomal RNA
Rfam family: 5.8S ribosomal RNA (bases 1-120)
Source: RNAcentral